RNAcentral lists this ribosomal RNA (397 nucleotides) under uncultured bacterium. Its description in RNAcentral is "bacterial SSU rRNA". It matches the Rfam family "Bacterial small subunit ribosomal RNA", at positions 997 to 1386 of the family's 1533-position model. The record is from RNAcentral.
GGCUGAGAGAUCAGCUGUUCCCUUCGGGGACAGAAUGACAGGUGGUGCAUGGUUGUCGUCAGCUCGUGUCGUGAGAUGUUGGGUUAAGUCCCGUAACGAGCGCAACCCUUAUGAUCAGUUGCCAGCAUUCAGUUGGGCACUCUGGUCAGACUGCCGGUGACAAACCGGAGGAAGGCGGGGAUGACGUCAAAUCAUCAUGCCCCUUAUGACCUGGGCUACACACGUGCUACAAUGGGUGGUACAACGAGCAGCGAGACCGCGAGGUCAAGCGAAUCUCUAAAAACCAUCCUCAGUUCGGAUUGCAGGCUGCAACUCGCCUGCCUGAAGCUGGAAUCGCUAGUAAUCGCGGAUCAACACGCCGCGGUGAAUACGUUCCCCGGGUCUUGUACCCUCCCGA